Molecule: non-coding RNA, 3789 nt
Organism: Chlorocebus sabaeus (green monkey)
Lineage: Eukaryota; Metazoa; Chordata; Mammalia; Primates; Cercopithecidae
Source: RefSeq, a predicted model, not a curated record
CCAACUCCCAACCUCAGAAGAUCCACCCGCUUUAGCUUCCCAAAGUGCUGGGAUUACAGGCAUGAGCCACUAUGCCCAGCUAAAGCCGGUGUAUUCUUGAUACCAAAUCCCAACAGCACAUAUGAGAAUGGAGAAUUUUCAGCCAAUCUCACUCAAGAACAUAAAUACAAAAAUUCUAAGUCCAAUGUCAAGAAAACUAAAUCCAACAGUAUUAAGAAGAUAAAAUACUCUGUUCCUCUUUUCCUGCCUUGUUUUAGAUUGAUCAAAUAUUUGUCAGUAUUCCACUUUAUUUCCUCUAUUGGCUUUUUAGCUGUACUUUGAGUGGUGCUGUAGGGAUUACAAUAUGCAUCCUUAAUUUAUUACACUUUACUUAGAAUUAAUAUUGAACAGCUUUACACUUCACAAAUAAAAGGAUCUAAUAGCAGUGUAAUUCCAUCCCCCUCCUCUUCCUCAUUUGUGCUGUAGCGGUGGGUGUUUUAUAUUUUACUUCUGUAUUUGUUUCAAACUCUUUCUUAAAACAGUGAUAUUAUUUUUUGCUGUAAGCAACCUUCUUUUUUUUUUUUUUUUUCCGAGACAGGGUCUUACUGUGUUUCCCAGGGAAACAUACUUACCUGACUAGUGUGCAUAAUAGCCUUUAUAGUAAAAAUACCCCUAUACGGCCUACACUUGUGACUUCCUAAGGCCCAUGUUGAAGCCCCCAUUGCCGGAUCAAUAGUUCUCACCGCAGUACUCCUAAAACUAGGUGGCUACGGCAUAAUACGACUAACCACUAUUCUCAACCCUUUGACAGAGUAUAGCCUGCCCAUUUCUCAUGCUAUCCCUAUGAGGCGUGAUCAUAACAAGCCUAACCUGUCUUCGACAGACAGACCUAAAAUCACUCAUCGCAUACUCCUCCGUAAGCCACAUGGCCCUAGUAAUCAUAGCCUCCCUCAUUCAAACCCCCUGAAGCUUCACUGGUUCAAUUACCCUUAUAAUUGCCCAUGGACUCACUUCAUCCAUAUUGUUUUGUCUAACAAACUCAAACUAUGAACGACCCCACAGCUGCAUUAUAAUACUUUCUCGAGGACUCCAAACCCUACUCCCACUAAUAACCUUCUGAUGAUUUGUGGCAAACCUUGCUAACCUAGCCUUACCCCCUACUGUUAACCUAACAGGAGAACUCCUUGUAAUAACAACUUCAUUCUCCUGAUCAUGCAUUACCAUUAUGCUUACAGGACUUAAUAUACUAAUCACAGCCCUCUAUUCCCUCUAUAUAUUUGCCACAACACAAUGAGGAAUACUUACACAUCAUAUUAUCAACAUAAAACCCUCCUGUACAUGAGAGAAUACAUUAAUAUUUAUGCACCUCUCCCCUAUUCUCCUCCUAUCCUUUAACCCUAACAUUAUCCUAGGUUUUACCUCUUGUAAAUAUAGCUUAACUAAAACAUUAGAUUGUGAAUCUAACCAUAGAAAUCCACCACUUCUUAUUUACCAAGAAAGCUCGCAAGGACUGCUAACCCAUGCCUCCAUUUUUAACAAAAUGGCUUUCCCAACUUUUAAAGGAUAACAGUUAUCCAUUGGUCUUAGGAACCAAACACAUUGGUGUAAUUCCAAAUAAAAGUAACAACCAUGUAUACCUCCAUUACCAUAAUAACCCUAACCUCCCUAAUUCUCCCAAUUACUAUUACUUUUAUUAAUCCCAACAAAAAGCACUUAUAUCCAAACUAUGUAAAAACAAUUAUAAUAUAUACUUUUAUCAUUAGCCUCAUUCCCACAACUCUGUACGUCUUCCUGGAUCAAGAAGCAAUUAUUUCAAACUGACAUUGAAUAACAAUCCAAACAUUAGAACUAACACUAAGCUUCAAAUUAGACUACUUUUCCAUAAUAUUUACCCCAGUUGCACUAUUCAUUACUUGGUCUAUUAGAGAGUUCUCAUUAUGAUAUAUAAGUCCAGACCCAAAUAUCAACCAAUUCUUUUAAGUAUCUUCUUACUUUUCUCACUACUAUGCUGAUUCUGGUUACCGCCAAUAACCUCUUCCAACUUUUCAUUGGAUGAGAGGGUGUCGGGAUUAUCUCCUUCCUACUAAUUGGCUGAUGGCACGCCCGAACAGAAGCCAACACAGCAGCCAUCCGAGCAAUCUUAUAUAACUGCACUGGCGACAUUGGCCUUAUCUUGAGCAUAACAUGAUCCCUCCUACGUUAUAACUCAUGAGAUUUUCAACAAAUACCCUAAACUCCAGCCCAAAUCUUCUCCCAUCAAUAGGCCUUCUCCUGGCAGCAACAGGAAAAUCAGCUCAACUUGGCCUUCACCCUUGACUACCCUCCGCCAUAGAAGGCCCGACCCCAGUAUCAGCUCUACUCCACUCCAGCACCAUAGUCGUUGCCGGAGUUUUCCUACUCAUCCACUUUCACCCUCUAAUGGAAAACAAUACACUAAUCCAAAGCCUUACACUAUGCCUAGGGGCCAUCACCACCAUAUUUACAGCAAUUUGUGCCCUAACACAGAAUGAUAUUAAAAAAAUCGUAGCCUUCUCCACCUCAAGUCAACUAGGCCUUGUAAUAGUUACUAUCGGCAUCAAUCAACCAUACUUAGCAUUUCUACAUAUCUGUACUCAUGCCUUCUUUAAAUCUAUACUAUUUAUCUGCUCCGGAUCUAUUAUCCACAACCUAAAUAAUGAACAAGAUAUUCAAAAAAUGGGGGGGUUGUUUAAAACAAUGCCCCUCACCUCAACCUCCCUAACCAUCGGCAACCUAGCACUCACAGGCAUACCUUUCCUUACAGGUUUUUACACCAAAGACCUUAUUAUCGAAACCGCAAACAUGUCAUAUACCAACGCCUGAGCCCUAUCUAUUACUCUCAUUGCCACAUCCCUAACAAGCGCCUACAGUACUCGAACUAUUCUUCUCACCCUAACAGGACAACCUCGUUUCCCAGCCUCAAUUAACAUUAACGAAAAUUCUCCUACACUAUUAAACCCAACCAAACGCCUCACAAUCGGCAGUCUACUCGCAGGAUUUCUCAUCACUAAUAAUAUUCCUCCUACCUCACUUCCCCAAUUAACAAUACCCUACCACCUAAAACUCUCAGCCCUAUACAUAACCGCCCUAGGCUUUCUAGUAGCCCUAGACCUUACUCUCAUAACUAACAAGCUUAAAAUAAAUAUACCAUCACACAUAUUUGAAUUCUCUAAUAUACUAGGAUACUUUCCCACUACAAUUCACCGCAUAAUCCCCUACCAAAACCUACUUAUAAGUCAAAACCUAGCUCCCUUCUACUAGACUCAAUCUGACUAGAAAAAUCUAUGCCUAAAACAAUCUCACAUGUCCACACUAUUACCUCCAUCAUCACAACCACCCAGAAAGGUAUAAUAAAAUUUUACUUUCUAUCCUUCCUUAUUCCCCUUAUCCUAACUCUAUUCCUAAUAACAUAACCUAUUGCCCCAAGUAAUCUCAAUAACAAUAUACACACCAACAAAUAACGUUCAACCAGCAACCACCACUAAUCAAUGCCCAUAAUCAUAUAAAGCACCCGCACCAAUAGAAUCCCCUCGAACUAACCCGGACCCCUCUCCCUCAAAAACCGCCCAAUUUCCCGUAUUAUUAAAAUUUACUACUACCACUACCCCAUCAAAAUCUAAAACUCAUAAAACCAACCCCGCCUCCAUCACCAACCCUACCAAAAGACUCCCUAAAACCUCAAACCAUGAACCCCAUGCUUCAGGAUACUCCUCAAUAGCCAUCACCGUAGUAUAACCAAAAACAACCAUCAUCCCUCCCAAAUAAAUUAAAAACAUCAUUAAACCCAUAUAA